CGGGAACUUCUGGUGGAUCCUCCUCGUCAGACGAUCCAGCGCUGGAUGACUCCUCGUCACUGUCCGCCAGACAGUAGGCCCGAGGUCCCUCCCCCUCCUUCCCCAGACGAGCCAAGUUCAUCUUCGUCUCCAGGGUCAUGAUGAAGGAGCCAGCGUAGGACACCUCCAGAUCAAACCACAAACCUAGAGGAAGAGAGAAGCUAUUCAGCAUUGGAAAUUUAACACCCCGCCCAUCGUUAAGGAUACAGCCAAUUACUAAACAGAUGAUAUCUGUUAGAUACUCCUAAAGCAUGGCAUCAUCUACCGCUUAUCCGGGGCCGGGUCGCGGGGGCAGCAGUCUAAGCAGGGAUGCCCAGACCUCCCUCU
Molecule: long non-coding RNA, 366 nt
Organism: Esox lucius (northern pike)
Lineage: Eukaryota; Metazoa; Chordata; Actinopteri; Esociformes; Esocidae
Exons: 3
Source: RefSeq, a predicted model, not a curated record